CCUACGGGAGGCUGCAGUGAGGAAUAUUGCGCAAUGGGGGAAACCCUGACGCAGCGACGCCGCGUGAGUGAGGAAGGCCUUCGGGUCGUAAAGCUCUGUCAAGAGGAAAGAAGUGUACAAUGGCUAAUACCUGUUGUAUUUGACGGUACCUCUAAAGGAAGCACCGGCUAACUCCGUGCCAGCAGCCGCGGUAAUACGGAGGGUGCAAGCGUUGUUCGGAAUCACUGGGCGUAAAGGGCGCGUAGGCGGCUUGGUAAGUCAGAUGUGAAAGACCACGGCUUAACCGUGGGGUUGCAUUUGAAACUGGGAGGCUUGAGUGUCGGAGAGGGCAGUGGAAUUCCCGGUGUAGCGGUGAAAUGCGUAGAUAUUUGGAGGAACACCAGUGGCGAAGGCGGCUUACUGGGCCGGAACUGACGCUGAGACACGAAAGCGUGGGGAGCAAACAGGAUUAGAUACCCUAGU
Molecule: ribosomal RNA, 462 nt
Filed under: uncultured Desulfobulbus sp.
Lineage: Bacteria; Pseudomonadati; Thermodesulfobacteriota; Desulfobulbia; Desulfobulbales; Desulfobulbaceae
Description: bacterial SSU rRNA
Rfam family: Bacterial small subunit ribosomal RNA
Source: RNAcentral